This 328-nucleotide ribosomal RNA is filed under the name uncultured eukaryote. RNAcentral's name for it is "partial 18S ribosomal RNA". It matches the Rfam family "Eukaryotic small subunit ribosomal RNA", at positions 1470 to 1796 of the family's 1831-position model. The record is from RNAcentral.
CCCUUAGAUGUUCUGGGCUGCACGCGCGUUACACUGAUGCAUUCAACGAGCUUAUAACCUUGGCCGAGAGGCCUGGGCAAUCUUGUUAACGUGCAUCGUGAUAGGGAUAGAUUAUUGAAAUUAUUAAUCUUGAACGAGGAAUUCCUAGUAAACGCAGAUCAUCAAUCUGCAUUGAUUACGUCCCUGCCCUUUGUACACACCGCCCGUCGCACCUACCGAUUGGAUGGUCCGGUGAAGCCUCGGGAUUGUGGUUCUUGCCGCUUUGUUGUGGCGUGACCGCGAGAACUUGUCUAAACCUUAUCAUCUAGAGGAAGGUGAAGUCGUAACA